Long non-coding RNA from Triticum aestivum (bread wheat), 624 nucleotides. RefSeq lists it as uncharacterized. NCBI's taxonomy places the organism in Eukaryota, Viridiplantae, Streptophyta, Magnoliopsida, Poales, Poaceae. The record is from RefSeq and is a predicted model, not a curated record. The transcript has 2 exons.
CCAUGUUUUUGACUGUGCAAACACUUUCACAUUUGGUUCAGGCACGGCAACAGAUGAACGCACGCAGAGAUGAAUUGCUUGACAAAAUCGCGCCCUUGAACUGACGUACGGGACGUGAUUGUGAGUGGACGCAGGGGGGCAAGCAAAGAUACGGAUGCCACCAGAGACCCCGAUCAUCUCACCCACGACACUACCACCACCGUAGGUGCACCCUUUGAAAUCUUGGUGCAAUGGCACCAUGGAGCACCGCCUCCGCUCCCGGAAUUCGACAGCUCGACCGCACCGGCGAAAAGAUCGUGCUACUAUCUCCGUCGCGUGAUCAAAUCCGAGCAGAUGGAUGUGCACGAUGCGUGGGUGGUGAGGCUGAUUGGAGGUAGAUGGAUGAUCGUCCUGCUGUCUGCUGGCCAGUUGUGAGGCUAGGAAUAAGUGGCUAAUGACGACCGUGACUGGUUUACGCCUUGUCUCGGGAGAAAGAUCUUCACCAAUCAACUUGAGCCUCUCUCUUGUUCAAAGCAUUGUCUUUAUAGGAUUUCAUCCAUAGAGUUGCUGUUUUUGAAGUCCAUUUGGUUCAAGUGAAUGUACCCUCAAGAUUUCUAUGAACUGCUUUCGGACCGUGUAAUUUCA